GGGGGGAGUGCAGGAUCCCAGCUGUGUCCCCCGGCGCCUUGGGCUCCGGGGCUUGCGCUGCUGGAAUCAUGCUCCCGGAGCUGCAGCUCCCG
Molecule: microRNA precursor, 92 nt
Filed under: Canis lupus dingo (dingo)
Lineage: Eukaryota; Metazoa; Chordata; Mammalia; Carnivora; Canidae
Description: mir-8799 microRNA precursor family
Rfam family: mir-8799 microRNA precursor family
Source: Rfam by way of RNAcentral